AAAUAAGUGUCCUUUAGCUUAAAAUUUCUCGCCCAAAUUCCUUGAUAUACGUACUUACAAGAUAGGCCUAUGCAAUGCGAAACUACAUGGUUAGGUGUUAUAGAGGUAAAUCAGUGUGCCAGCUACCGCGGUUAUACAUUAGCUAACUAAUUUCUAUUUUGUUAUUUUUGAACAUUUAAUAACUAAUAGCACACUUGUUUAGUGAAACUGUGUACAUUUGUAAAUAUGCUUUUAGUUCAAUAAAUAAAUUUAAUAGUAAAACUAGGAUUAGAUACCCUACUAUUUUAAAUUUUAAACAUUAAGAAGUAAAAUAAGCCCUAAACUUAAUUAGGACGGCGGUAGAAUUUUAUUAGAGGAGGUUGUUCUUUAAUCGAUAGCCCUCGUUUAUUUCUUUUUCUUCAUUAUGUAUAUCGCCGUUGAAAUUCAACUUAAGAUUGAAUUAUUUAUCUAUAUUUAUGUGUCAACAGGUCUAGAUACAAAUAAUGUAAAAGUAUGAAAUGACCUACAAAAUACAAAUAAUUUUAAUGGUAAUUAACAUAAUAUAAGAAGUACCAAAGGAUUUAAAAGUAAUGUUAAUUAAUUGUAAUAGUAUAAUGAAUUAUACUUAUUCUAUGCACAUAUCGCCCGUCACCCUCUUUGGAGGUAAGUCGUAACAAAGUAGAUCUUUCGGAAGAAGGAUCUAGCCA
Molecule: ribosomal RNA, 686 nt
Filed under: Trichuris sp. TMM5
Lineage: Eukaryota; Metazoa; Nematoda; Enoplea; Trichinellida; Trichuridae
Description: small subunit ribosomal RNA
Source: RNAcentral